This is a long non-coding RNA of Neopelma chrysocephalum (saffron-crested tyrant-manakin), 190 nucleotides long. RefSeq lists it as uncharacterized. The transcript is spliced from 2 exons. Lineage: Eukaryota; Metazoa; Chordata; Aves; Passeriformes; Pipridae. The record is from RefSeq and is a predicted model, not a curated record.
UAACAGCACUCUCCUCAACAGAUUUUUCCCUCUCCUUUUGCUUUGGACUCAGGGGGACCACAAACACUGCUUUGUUCAUGCCCCGGGGUGCUGGGUUAUACGUUUGGUUUUUGUGGUUUAAAACCAAUUGUUUGUCUGUAUAAUUGUAUUUAUUGUAUUAUAUUUAUUAAAUUGUUAUUCUGAUUUAUAA